CCUACGGGAGGCAGCAGUGAGGAAUAUUGGUCAAUGGACGAGAGUCUGAACCAGCCAAGUAGCGUGAAGGAUGACUGCCCUAUGGGUUGUAAACUUCUUUUAUAUGGGAAUAAAAUGUUCCACGUGUGGGAUUUUGUAUGUACCAUAUGAAUAAGGAUCGGCUAACUCCGUGCCAGCAGCCGCGGUAAUACGGAGGAUCCGAGCGUUAUCCGGAUUUAUUGGGUUUAAAGGGAGCGUAGGUGGAUUGUUAAGUCAGUUGUGAAAGUUUGCGGCUCAACCGUAAAAUGGCAGUUGAAACUGGCAGUCUUGAGUACAGUAGAGGUGAGCGGAAUUCGUGGUGUAGCGGUGAAAUGCGUAGAUAUCACGAAGAACUCCGAUUGCGAAGGCAGUUCACUGGACUGCAACUGACACUGAGGCUCGAAAGUGUGGGUAUCAAACAGGAUUAGAUACCCCAGUAGUC
This 460-nucleotide ribosomal RNA is filed under the name uncultured bacterium. RNAcentral's name for it is "partial 16S ribosomal RNA". It matches the Rfam family "Bacterial small subunit ribosomal RNA", at positions 338 to 795 of the family's 1533-position model. The record is from RNAcentral.